CUCGUGUUUAUCUUGAAAAACCAUUUUAUUGUACUCGUGUUAUUGAUACGAUCUCGCUUGAUAAUGACUAAAACUUUUGUGCACUGAACCGAAGAUAUGGUGCAAACUCGUCAUCCUCUCGCGCAGUUAUACGGCAUUCUUCGUAUUGCACUCCGCUCGUGUUAUUGACAAAACCAUUUUAUUGAGUACUUGUGUUAUUUACAAAACCAUUUAUGGACAACAGCGGAACUAACCGUAGAUAACCGCCAGUAGUAUACAAAAUAGGGGUUCUGGCGCGGGUGGUGCACUAAGCACCA
Molecule: non-coding RNA, 296 nt
Organism: Paramuricea clavata
Lineage: Eukaryota; Metazoa; Cnidaria; Anthozoa; Malacalcyonacea; Plexauridae
Source: the annotation of a GenBank genome assembly